CAGUCGCCACGGGAAUACGAAGGGGGCUAGCGUUGCUCGGAAUGACUGGGCGUAAAGGGCGCGUAGGCGGCGAUCAAAGUCAGGCGUGAAAUUCCUGGGCUCAACCUGGGGGCUGCAUUUGAUACUGGUAGGCUUGAGUAUGGAAGAGGGUCGUGGAAUUCCCAGUGUAGAGGUGAAAUUCGUAGAUAUUGGGAAGAGCACCGGUGGCGAAGGCGGCGACCUGGUCCAUAACUGACGCUGAGGCGCGAAAGCGUGGGGAGCAAACAGGAUUAGAUACCCGAGUAGUCCCUGUCUCUUAUAU
Molecule: ribosomal RNA, 301 nt
Filed under: uncultured bacterium
Lineage: Bacteria
Description: partial 16S ribosomal RNA
Rfam family: Bacterial small subunit ribosomal RNA
Source: RNAcentral